AACGAACGCUGGCGGCAGGCCUAACACAUGCAAGUCGAACGCCCACUUCGGUGGGAGUGGCGCACGGGUGAGUAACACGUGGGAACCUACCCUUCGGUGCGGAACAACCCAGGGAAACUUGGGCUAAUACCGCAUACGACCUUCGGGUGAAGAUUCAUCGCCGAGGGAAGGGCCCGCGUCCGAUUAGGUAGUUGGUGGGGUAACGGCCUACCAAGCCGACGAUCGGUACCUGGUCUGAGAGGAUGAUCAGGCACACUGGGACUGAGACACGGCCCAGACUCCUACGGGAGGCAGCAGUGGGGAAUAUUGGACAAUGGGCGAAAGCCUGAUCCAGCCAUGCCGCGUGAGUGAUGAAGGCCUUCGGUUGUAAGCUCUUUCGGCCGGGAGAAGAUGACGGUACCUGACUAAGAAGCCCCGGCUAACUACGUG
RNAcentral lists this ribosomal RNA (429 nucleotides) under uncultured bacterium. Its description in RNAcentral is "bacterial SSU rRNA". It matches the Rfam family "Bacterial small subunit ribosomal RNA", at positions 29 to 507 of the family's 1533-position model. The record is from RNAcentral.